Molecule: ribosomal RNA, 1444 nt
Filed under: uncultured organism
Description: SSU rRNA
Rfam family: Bacterial small subunit ribosomal RNA
Source: RNAcentral
UCAGGAUGAACGCUAGCUACAGGCUUAACACAUGCAAGUCGAGGGGCAGCAUCAUUAAAGCUUGCUUUGAUGGAUGGCGACCGGCGCACGGGUGAGUAACACGUAUCCAACCUGCCGACAACACUGGGAUAGCCUUUCGAAAGAAAGAUUAAUACCGGAUGGCAUAGUUUUCCCGCAUGGGAUAAUUAUUAAAGAAUUUCGGUUGUCGAUGGGGAUGCGUUCCAUUAGGCAGUUGGCGGGGUAACGGCCCACCAAACCAACGAUGGAUAGGGGUUCUGAGAGGAAGGUCCCCCACAUUGGAACUGAGACACGGUCCAAACUCCUACGGGAGGCAGCAGUGAGGAAUAUUGGUCAAUGGACGAGAGUCUGAACCAGCCAAGUAGCGUGAAGGAUGACUGCCCUAUGGGUUGUAAACUUCUUUUAUACGGGAAUAAAGUGAACCACGUGUGGCUUUUUGUAUGUACCGUAUGAAUAAGGAUCGGCUAACUCCGUGCCAGCAGCCGCGGUAAUACGGAGGAUCCGAGCGUUAUCCGGAUUUAUUGGGUUUAAAGGGAGCGUAGGCGGGUUGUUAAGUCAGUUGUGAAAGUUUGCGGCUCAACCGUAAAAUUGCAGUUGAUACUGGCGACCUUGAGUGCAACAGAGGUAGGCGGAAUUCGUGGUGUAGCGGUGAAAUGCUUAGAUAUCACGAAGAACUCCGAUUGCGAAGGCAGCUUACUGGAUUGUAACUGACGCUGAUGCUCGAAAGUGUGGGUAUCAAACAGGAUUAGAUACCCUGGUAGUCCACACAGUAAACGAUGAAUACUCGCUGUUGGCGAUAUACGGUCAGCGGCCAAGCGAAAGCAUUAAGUAUUCCACCUGGGGAGUACGCCGGCAACGGUGAAACUCAAAGGAAUUGACGGGGGCCCGCACAAGCGGAGGAACAUGUGGUUUAAUUCGAUGAUACGCGAGGAACCUUACCCGGGCUUAAAUUGCAACUGACUGAACCGGAAACGGUUCUUUCUUCGGACAGUUGUGAAGGUGCUGCAUGGUUGUCGUCAGCUCGUGCCGUGAGGUGUCGGCUUAAGUGCCAUAACGAGCGCAACCCUUAUCGAUAGUUACUAGCAGGUCAUGCUGAGGACUCUAUUGAGACUGCCGUCGUAAGAUGUGAGGAAGGUGGGGAUGACGUCAAAUCAGCACGGCCCUUACGUCCGGGGCUACACACGUGUUACAAUGGGGGGUACAGAAGGCAGCUACACGGCGAUGUGGUGCUAAUCCCUAAAGCCUCUCUCAGUUCGGAUUGGAGUCUGCAACCCGACUCCAUGAAGCUGGAUUCGCUAGUAAUCGCGCAUCAGCCACGGCGCGGUGAAUACGUUCCCGGGCCUUGUACACACCGCCCGUCAAGCCAUGAAAGCCGGGGGUACCAGAAGUACGUAACCGCGAGGAGCGUCCUAGGGUAAAACUGGAA